GACAAACGCUGGCGGCAUGCCUAACACAUGCAAGUCGAACGGACAGAACAGGGAAGCUUUUCGGAGUGGAACUGGAAAGUUAGUGGCGGAUGGGUGAGUAACGCGUGGACAACCUACCUUGUAAAGGGGAAUAACCUCGAGAAAUCGAAGCUAAUACCCCAUAAUAACCUUGCUUCGCAUGAAAUAAGGAGGAAAGGCGGCCUUAGCGCUGUCGAUACAAGAUGGGUCCGCGUCUGAUUAGCUAGUUGGUGAGGUAAAGGCUCACCAAGGCGACGAUCAGUAGCCGGCCUGAGAGGGUGAACGGCCACAUUGGGACUGAGACACGGCCCAAACUCCUACGGGAGGCAGCAGUGGGGAAUCUUCCGCAAUGGGCGAAAGCCUGACGGAGCAAUGCCGCGUGAGUGAAGAAGGCCUUCGGGUUGUAAAACUCUGUCCUUAUCGAAGAGAGAGUGUUGUAGUAACUGACAAUACUAGGACGGUAGAUGAGGAGGAAGCCCCGGCUAACUAUGUG
RNAcentral lists this ribosomal RNA (511 nucleotides) under uncultured bacterium. Its description in RNAcentral is "partial 16S ribosomal RNA". It matches the Rfam family "Bacterial small subunit ribosomal RNA", at positions 28 to 507 of the family's 1533-position model. The record is from RNAcentral.